Molecule: RNA transcript, 1359 nt
Organism: Panicum virgatum (switchgrass)
Lineage: Eukaryota; Viridiplantae; Streptophyta; Magnoliopsida; Poales; Poaceae
Gene name: thioredoxin-like 1-2, chloroplastic
Exons: 4
Source: RefSeq, a predicted model, not a curated record
GCCGCUUCCCCAAUCUUCGAUUCGCUUCUCUUCUCCUCUCGAGCGCUGUGGUUUCUCCCCAUCGCGAGCUCUCUCUUCUCCCCCCCCCCCCCUCCCCUUCCUCGAGCGCGGUUUCGGCCAUGGCGGCGGCGGCGCAGGCGGUCGCGAAGGGGAGCGUGGUGUCGCCGAGCGGCAACCGGGCCGCGCCGGGGCUCCUGGGCCGGCGGAUGGCGCCAUCGGCGGUGCGGAUCGGGGCGCCCUGGAGGAAGACCGCGUUCCUCGGCGGCGGGAGGCUGGCGGUCGGGCCCAUGAGAUCCAGGUCCGCGUCCCGGACUCUCGUCGCGUCGCCGGUGCAGAUGAACAUGAACCUUGCGAUUGGGAAAUCCAUGAGGUGGUGGGAGAAGGGGCUGCAGCCCAACAUGCGGGAGGUCGAGUCCGCUCAGGACCUCGCCGAUUCAUUGGCCAACGCCGGCGACAGGCUCGUCAUCGUAGACUUCUUCUCCCCUGGCUGCGGAGGUUGCCGUGCUCUUCACCCAAAGAUUUGCCAGUUUGCGGAGCAGAAUCCGGAUGUGCUGUUCUUGCAAGUGAACUAUGAGGAGCACAAGUCUAUGUGCUACAGCCUCCAUGUCCAUGUCCUACCUUUCUUCAGGUUCUACAGGGGAGCUCAGGGACGUCUCUGCAGCUUCAGCUGCACCAACGCAACUAUCAAGAAGUUCAAGGAUGCCCUUGCAAAGCACAAACCAGAUAGAUGUAGCAUUGGCCCGACUAGGGGGCUGGAGGAAUCAGAGUUAUUAGCACUGGCCGCAAACAAGGACCUGCAGUUCACCUACACCAAGAAGCCAGAACUGAUCCCCAGUGGAGAUGCUGCUGCAGAAGUCAUUGCUCCCGAGCCUGUAGAGUUCCCAGCGGCAACAAAGCCGUUGGUCAGGCUGGGGUCCGAGGAGAGGUCCUUGGUCUCAUCAGGAAGAUAAGAUGCAGGGUUAUCUUUAGGAUGAUCAGAUCCUUCCAUUCUGUACAGUUCCGUGGUUGUUCUUGAUGUGUACAGGUUGUAGCAUCUCAUGCUAGUAGAGCGCAGGCCAUGAUUUUUACAUGUGAAGCCUGCCCGCCCGCCUGUCCUCCGGACUCCAGUAGUUUAGCAAGUUUGUAUUAGCACUUUAGCAGUAGCAGACUAGCAGAGUGGUGUUGUGGAGCUUCUGCCUCCUGUAUGGUAGAUGUGCGAAUGAAUUCGUCUGCAUGCUAUUUGGUUGCAUUUUAAAAUCAUGUGGCUUAGUUCCCGCACUUCCAUUUCUCCCUCCACUACCAUUUCUCCCGCAGCCUCAGGUUAUUUGUCUGGGUGUAUUUCGCGAAGCUCAAUAAUCAAUCAUGCCUUAUGUUGUGUCA